AUAAUUAAGAGUUUGAUUUUGGCUUAGGGUUAACGUUAGCAGUGCAUCUUAAGUAUACAAGUCAAACGUAUGUAGUAAUAUAUUAUGGCGAAGGGUAGGUAAUGUGUGAAUGGUCUACUUUAUGAGUGGUAACAUUAAAACCGAGAUGUGGUUUAGGGUUUUUAUAGUAGACUAUGGUUGAAAAUCUUUUAUAAUGGUCAAGAGACUUAUAGGGUAAUACUAUAAGGAUGAGAAAUUCUAAAGGUUGUAAAAUCCUUUUAUAAAUAAGGAAUAAGCUUUUUAGGAAAUGACAAGGUGGUGACGUUAAUUUAUGAAUAAGCCCUGGCUAAUUACGUGCUAGCAGCUGUGGUAAUGCUCAGGGGGCGAGCGUUGUUUGGGAUUAUUUGGUGUAACGGGUGAGUAGGCGGAUAUAUAAGUCUAUGCAUAAAAUGCCACAGUUGAACUGUGGAACUAUGUUGGAAACUAUAUGUCUAGAGUUUUAUAGAGGAAGUUAAAAUUCCUGGUGUAAGGGUGGGAUUCGUUGAUAUCAGAAAGAAUAUCGGAGGUGAGUGCUAACUUCUUGGUUAAUACUGAUGCUAAGUCACGAAAGUGUAGGGAGCAAGCAUGAUUAGGUACCCUAGUAGUCUCCGCUGUAAACGAUGCAUACUUGGUGUUAACUAAAAGUUAAUACUGAAGCUAACGUGUUAAGUGUGUCGUCUGGGAGGUAUGCUUGUAAGAGUGAAACUCAAAGGAAUUGACGGAGGCCUUAGUAUAAGCGGUGGAGCAUGUGGUUUAAUUCGAUGAUACGCGAGGAACCUUGUCAGAAGCUGAUAUAUCUAGGAUAUAGUUAGAGAUAAUUAUUUUUUGUUUGGAUCUGUAUACAGGUAUUGUAUGAAUGUCUUUAAUUUGUUUUGUAUUAAAUCUUUCAACCGUUGCAAUCCUUUUUAUAUACUGCCCAUAUGUAAUAAUGGGAACUCAGGUAAGAUUACUGGUGGCAAAUUGGAUGAGUGUAGGGAUAGUAUCAAAUUAUCGGGGCUCUUAUGUUUUGGGUUACAUGCAUGCUACAACGGCCUGUACAAAAUCGAAUCGAAAUAGUGGAUAUAAGUAAAACUCACAAAUCGGGUCUCAGUCCGGAUUGAAAUUUGAAGCUUGACUUCAUGAAUUUUAAAUUAUCAACAAGUAUAUAUUAAAAUGAUAUAGCGAAUACGUUUUAGAGUUUUGUAUACACCACAUGUCGCAUAAUUUCAGUUGAAUGGAUACUUAAAUCUAUUGUUUUAACCAGUAAGAAAUAAAGGUGCUUAAGGUAUGUUAGUGAGAGUAGUGAAGUUGUAAUAAACUAGCCGACUGGAAAGUAUAUUUGAAUUAUAUUCUUU
RNAcentral lists this ribosomal RNA (1352 nucleotides) under Borreliella spielmanii. RNAcentral describes it as "bacterial SSU rRNA". It matches the Rfam family "Bacterial small subunit ribosomal RNA". The record is from RNAcentral. Lineage: Bacteria; Pseudomonadati; Spirochaetota; Spirochaetia; Spirochaetales; Borreliaceae.